CUGCGAAUGGCUCAUUAUAUAAGUUAUCGUUUAUUUGAUAGUACCUUACUACUUGGAUAACCGUGGUAAUUCUAGAGCUAAUACAUGCUAAAAAUCCCGACUUCGGAAGGGAUGUAUUUAUUAGAUUAAAAACCAAUGCCCUUCGGGGCUCACUGGUGAUUCAUGAUAACUCCUCGAAUCGCAUGGCCUUGUGCCGGCGAUGGUUCAUUCAAAUUUCUUCCCUAUCAACUUUCGAUGUUUGGGUAUUGGCCAAACAUGGUUGCAACGGGUAACGGAGGGUUAGGGCUCGACCCCGGAGAAGGAGCCUGAGAAACGGCUACUACAUCCAAGGAAGGCAGCAGGCGCGCAAAUUACCCAAUCCCGACACGGGGAGGUAGUGACAAUAAAUACUGAUACAGGGCUCUUUUGGGUCUUGUAAUUGGAAUGAGUACAAUUUAAAUCCCUUAACGAGGAACAAUUGGAGGGCAAGUCUGGUGCCAGCAGCCGCGGUAAUUCCAGCUCCAAUAGCGUAUAUUAAAGUUGUUGUGGUUAAAAAGCUCGUAGUUGAACCUUGGGCCUGGCUGGCCGGUCCGCCUCACCGCGUGUACUGGUCCGGCCGGGCCUUUCCCUCUGUGGAACCCCAUGCCCUUCACUGGGUGUGGCGGGGAAACAGGACUUUUACUGUGAAAAAAUUAGAGUGCUCCAGGCAGGCCUAUGCUCGAAUACAUUAGCAUGGAAUAAUAGAAUAGGACGUGUGGUUCUAUUUUGUUGGUUUCUAGGACCGCCGUAAUGAU
RNAcentral lists this ribosomal RNA (773 nucleotides) under Fusarium oxysporum. RNAcentral describes it as "SSU rRNA". It matches the Rfam family "Eukaryotic small subunit ribosomal RNA", at positions 87 to 869 of the family's 1831-position model. Lineage: Eukaryota; Fungi; Ascomycota; Sordariomycetes; Hypocreales; Nectriaceae. The record is from RNAcentral.